GCAGUUUGUUGGACAAUCGCCAGCCGUCAAAAGUUGGAGGAAAGUCCGGGCAGCGCAGGAUACGACAGCCGCUAACAGCGGCCGGGGGUGACCCUAGGGAAAGUGCCACAGAAACGAUACCGCCCGCCAACCGGCGGGUAAGGGUGAAAGGAGUGCUCGCGCAAGCGGGGAUGACAUGCGGCCGACCGUGUAAGCGGUCCUUCGUCAAGUCAUCAGGUAAGAGCUCACAGCGACGCAUGGUAACAUGUGGAGGAGGUAAACCCUGUCGGCUGCAAGGAGGUGUGCAUAAAGAGCUAUCCGCUCGCACACCGAUACCCGCUUGAUGUGUGCGGCAACGUACAUGCUAGAUAGAUGAUUGUUCUCGACAGAACCCGGCUUACAGACUAACUGCCAUC
This 395-nucleotide RNase P RNA is filed under the name Candidatus Saccharimonadota bacterium. RNAcentral's name for it is "Candidatus Saccharibacteria bacterium RNase P RNA component class A". It matches the Rfam family "Bacterial RNase P class A". Rfam says of the family: Ribonuclease P (RNase P) is a ubiquitous endoribonuclease, found in archaea, bacteria and eukarya as well as chloroplasts and mitochondria. Its best characterised activity is the generation of mature 5'-ends of tRNAs by cleaving the 5'-leader elements of precursor-tRNAs. Cellular RNase Ps are ribonucleoproteins. The record is from RNAcentral. Lineage: Bacteria; Candidatus Saccharimonadota.